AUAAUGCCGUACACUGUAUAAUCAGUGGACAGAAAGGUGUAAGAUUACAGCCUUUCAUGUUCAAUCAUAUGGUGUCAAAUAGAUAAAAUUAUCCAAACAUGAAAGCAUCGAUUGAUCUGAACCACUGCCAAAAAUUAGCCGUAUAUAAAGAAAAUAUAAAAGAAAUCUUCUCCAUAACUUCAAAUAUUGUUCAAGAAAUGAAGCAGAUCUGCAGAUGCCUAUGGAGAGGUUAAUGGAGGCUGCCCGGAUUGGUGAUAUCGACACCUUAUAUGAAUUUUUAUGAUUGGAUCCAUUCCUUUUGGAAUCCAUUGAAUUGCGUAGAGUUUGUUUAUACCCCUGUGCAAAUUGCUGCAUCAAAGAGGCCUAACCAACUUUGCCAUAGAAAUCCUGAGCUUAAAGCCUUCAUUAGCCAAGAAGCUGAAUUCAGAGGGAUUUAGUCCUCUGGACUUGGCAUUGCAUAGCGCAAUGGNNNN
Molecule: long non-coding RNA, 473 nt
Filed under: Olea europaea (common olive)
Lineage: Eukaryota; Viridiplantae; Streptophyta; Magnoliopsida; Lamiales; Oleaceae
Description: long non-coding RNA (OEUR_LNC001405)
Source: RNAcentral